GGAAUGGGGUAUUCAAGUGGAAGCUUCUAACUUUUGACUUAAGCGAUGAAACUUCGUUUACAUUCCU
RNAcentral lists this transfer RNA (67 nucleotides) under Lachnaia gallaeca. RNAcentral describes it as "tRNA-Ser". Lineage: Eukaryota; Metazoa; Arthropoda; Insecta; Coleoptera; Chrysomelidae. The record is from RNAcentral.